GUAGAGCGCGCCCCUGAUAAUUGCGUCGUUGUUGGUUCAAGUCCAGGAUGGCCCAGCUGCGCCAAGGAAAAG
RNAcentral lists this transfer RNA (72 nucleotides) under Brachystegia kennedyi. Its description in RNAcentral is "tRNA-Glu". The record is from RNAcentral. Lineage: Eukaryota; Viridiplantae; Streptophyta; Magnoliopsida; Fabales; Fabaceae.